Molecule: ribosomal RNA, 2936 nt
Filed under: Priestia megaterium
Lineage: Bacteria; Bacillati; Bacillota; Bacilli; Caryophanales; Bacillaceae
Description: 23S ribosomal RNA
Rfam family: Bacterial large subunit ribosomal RNA
Source: RNAcentral
GGUUAAGUUAGAAAGGGCGCACGGUGAAUGCCUUGGCACUAGGAGCCGAUGAAGGACGGGACUAACACCGAUAUGCUUCGGGGAGCUGUAAGUGAGCUUUGAUCCGGAGAUUUCCGAAUGGGGAAACCCACUGUUCGUAAUGGAACAGUAUCUUUAUCUGAAUACAUAGGAUAUUGAAGGCAGACCCGGGGAACUGAAACAUCUAAGUACCCGGAGGAAGAGAAAGCAAAUGCGAUUUCCUGAGUAGCGGCGAGCGAAACGGAAUUAGCCCAAACCAAGAGGCUUGCCUCUUGGGGUUGUAGGACACUCUAUACGGAGUUACAAAGGAACGAAGUAAAUGAAGCGACCUGGAAAGGUCCGUCGAAGAAGGUAACAACCCUGUAGUUGAAACUUCGUUCCCUCUUGAGUGGAUCCUGAGUACGGCGGAACACGUGAAAUUCCGUCGGAAGCUGGGAGGACCAUCUCCCAAGGCUAAAUACUACCUAGUGACCGAUAGUGAACCAGUACCGUGAGGGAAAGGUGAAAAGCACCCCGGAAGGGGAGUGAAAGAGAUCCUGAAACCGUGUGCCUACAAGUAGUCAGAGCCCGUUAACGGGUGAUGGCGUGCCUUUUGUAGAAUGAACCGGCGAGUUACGAUCCCAUGCAAGGUUAAGCUGAUAAGGCGGAGCCGUAGCGAAAGCGAGUCUGAAUAGGGCGUUUAGUAUGUGGUUGUAGACCCGAAACCAGGUGAUCUACCCAUGUCCAGGGUGAAGUUCAGGUAACACUGAAUGGAGGUCCGAACCCACGCACGUUGAAAAGUGCGGGGAUGAGGUGUGGGUAGCGGAGAAAUUCCAAUCGAACCUGGAGAUAGCUGGUUCUCUCCGAAAUAGCUUUAGGGCUAGCCUCAUGUUGUGAGAGUCUUGGAGGUAGAGCACUGAUUGGACUAGGGGCCCCCAACGGGUUACCGAAUUCAGUCAAACUCCGAAUGCCAAAGACUUAUCCAUGGGAGUCAGACUGCGAGUGAUAAGAUCCGUAGUCAAAAGGGAAACAGCCCAGACCACCAGCUAAGGUCCCCAAGUAUACGUUAAGUGGAAAAGGAUGUGGAGUUGCUUAGACAACCAGGAUGUUGGCUUAGAAGCAGCCACCAUUUAAAGAGUGCGUAAUAGCUCACUGGUCGAGUGACUCUGCGCCGAAAAUGUACCGGGGCUAAACGUAUCACCGAAGCUGUGGAUUGACAUCUUUGAUGUCAGUGGUAGGAGAGCGUUCUAAGUGCUGUGAAGUCAGACCGUAAGGACUGGUGGAGCGCUUAGAAGUGAGAAUGCCGGUAUGAGUAGCGAAAGACAAGUGAGAAUCUUGUCCACCGAAUGCCUAAGGUUUCCUGAGGAAGGCUCGUCCGCUCAGGGUUAGUCGGGACCUAAGCCGAGGCUGAAAAGCGUAGGCGAUGGCCAACAGGUUGAUAUUCCUGUACCACCUCCCCGCCGUUUGAGUAAUGGGGGGACGCAGUAGGAUAGGGUAAGCGCGCUGCUGGAUAUGCGCGUUCAAGCAGUUAGGCUGAUGAGUAGGCAAAUCCGCUCAUCAUAAAGGCUGAGCUGUGAUGACGAGGGAAUUAUAGUACCGAAGUUCCUGAUUCCACACUGCCAAGAAAAGCCUCUAGCGAGGCGGGAGGUGCCCGUACCGCAAACCGACACAGGUAGGCGAGGAGAGAAUCCUAAGGUGAUCGAGAGAACUCUCGUUAAGGAACUCGGCAAAAUGACCCCGUAACUUCGGGAGAAGGGGUGCUCUGGUAGGGUGUAUAGCCCGAGAGAGCCGCAGUGAAUAGGCCCAGGCGACUGUUUAGCAAAAACACAGGUCUCUGCGAAGCCGCAAGGCGAAGUAUAGGGGCUGACGCCUGCCCGGUGCUGGAAGGUUAAGAGGAGGGGUUAUCCUUUGGGAGAAGCUCUGAAUCGAAGCCCCAGUAAACGGCGGCCGUAACUAUAACGGUCCUAAGGUAGCGAAAUUCCUUGUCGGGUAAGUUCCGACCCGCACGAAAGGCGUAACGAUCUGGGCACUGUCUCAACGAGAGACUCGGUGAAAUUAUAGUACCUGUGAAGAUGCAGGUUACCCGCGACAGGACGGAAAGACCCCGUGGAGCUUUACUGUAGCCUGAUAUUGAAUUUUGGUACAGCUUGUACAGGAUAGGUAGGAGCCUGAGAAGCCGGAGCGCUAGCUUCGGUGGAGGCGUCGGUGGGAUACUACCCUGGCUGUAUUGAAAUUCUAACCCGCGGCCCUGAUCGGGCCGGGAGACAGUGUCAGGUGGGCAGUUUGACUGGGGCGGUCGCCUCCUAAAAUGUAACGGAGGCGCCCAAAGGUUCCCUCAGAAUGGUUGGAAAUCAUUCGUAGAGUGUAAAGGCACAAGGGAGCUUGACUGCGAGACCUACAAGUCGAGCAGGGACGAAAGUCGGGCUUAGUGAUCCGGUGGUUCCGCAUGGAAGGGCCAUCGCUCAACGGAUAAAAGCUACCCCGGGGAUAACAGGCUUAUCUCCCCCAAGAGUCCACAUCGACGGGGAGGUUUGGCACCUCGAUGUCGGCUCAUCGCAUCCUGGGGCUGUAGUCGGUCCCAAGGGUUGGGCUGUUCGCCCAUUAAAGCGGUACGCGAGCUGGGUUCAGAACGUCGUGAGACAGUUCGGUCCCUAUCCGUCGUGGGCGUAGGAAAUUUGAGAGGAGCUGUCCUUAGUACGAGAGGACCGGGAUGGACACACCGCUGGUGUACCAGUUGUCUUGCCAAAGGCAUCGCUGGGUAGCUAUGUGUGGACGGGAUAAGUGCUGAAAGCAUCUAAGCAUGAAGCCCCCCUCAAGAUGAGAUUUCCCAUAGCGCAAGCUAGUAAGAUCCCUGAAAGAUGAUCAGGUUGAUAGGUCAGAGGUGGAAGCGUGGCGACAUGUGUAGCUGACUGAUACUAAUCGAUCGAGGACUUAACCAA